Molecule: non-coding RNA, 158 nt
Filed under: bovine gut metagenome
Source: RNAcentral
GCCGGACAAGUCCGGCGCGGAUCAAAAGGGAACCGGGUGAGAAUCCCGGACAGUUCCCGCUGCUGUAAGUUCCUACCGCAUUGCGGCACUCUUUGCCACUGGGCUCCGGCUCGGGAAGGCGCCGCUCCGGAACGAGUCAGAAGACCUGCCUGGGCCCU